ACUCCUACGGGAGGCAGCAGUGGGGAAUAUUGGACAAUGGGCGAAAGCCUGAUCCAGCCAUGCCGCGUGUGUGAAGAAGGUCUUCGGAUUGUAAAGCACUUUAAGUUGGGAGGAAGGGCAGUUGCCUAAUACGUGAUUGUUUUGACGUUACCGACAGAAUAAGCACCGGCUAACUCUGUGCCAGCAGCCGCGGUAAUACAGAGGGUGCAAGCGUUAAUCGGAAUUACUGGGCGUAAAGCGCGCGUAGGUGGUUUGUUAAGUUGGAUGUGAAAUCCCCGGGGCUCAACCUGGGAACUGCAUUCAAAACUGACUGACUAGAGUAUGGUAGAGGGUGGUGGAAUUUCCUGUGUAGCGGUGAAAUGCGUAGAUAUAGGAAGGAACACCAGUGGCGAAGGCGACCACCUGGACUGAUACUGACACUGAGGUGCGAAAGCGUGGGGAGCAAACAGGAUUAGAUACCCU
Molecule: ribosomal RNA, 462 nt
Filed under: uncultured bacterium
Lineage: Bacteria
Description: bacterial SSU rRNA
Rfam family: Bacterial small subunit ribosomal RNA
Source: RNAcentral